Molecule: transfer RNA, 61 nt
Filed under: Scutopus ventrolineatus
Lineage: Eukaryota; Metazoa; Mollusca; Caudofoveata; Limifossorida; Scutopodidae
Description: tRNA-Cys
Source: RNAcentral
GGUUUAUUAGUUUAUGAAAAAUAUUAAAUUGCAAGUUUGACGAAGUAAAAUACAUAAACCU